ACUGCUUUGGUGUAGUGGUAUCAUUCCUGAUUCCAGUGUGAACUGAAUCCAGGCGGUCACCCGUUCAAUCCGGGUACAGUU
Non-coding RNA from Leptodontidium sp. MPI-SDFR-AT-0119, 81 nucleotides. The record is from the annotation of a GenBank genome assembly. NCBI's taxonomy places the organism in Eukaryota, Fungi, Ascomycota, Leotiomycetes, Helotiales, Leptodontidiaceae.